This 271-nucleotide ribosomal RNA is filed under the name uncultured prokaryote. RNAcentral describes it as "partial 16S ribosomal RNA". It matches the Rfam family "Bacterial small subunit ribosomal RNA", at positions 524 to 794 of the family's 1533-position model. The record is from RNAcentral.
UACGUAGGUGGCGAGCGUUAUCCGGAAUUAUUGGGCGUAAAGAGCGCGCAGGUGGUUGAUUAAGUCUGAUGUGAAAGCCCACGGCUUAACCGUGGAGGGUCAUUGGAAACUGGUCGACUUGAGUGCAGAAGAGGGAAGUGGAAUUCCAUGUGUAGCGGUGAAAUGCGUAGAUAUCGGGAGGAACACCGGUGGCGAAGGCGGCUUUCUGGCCAGUUACUGACGCUCAUGCGCGAAAGCUGGGGUAGCGAACCGGAUUAGAUACCCUGGUAGU